UAAUACGUAGGGAGCAAGCGUUGUCCGGAUUUAUUGGGCGUAAAGAGCUCGUAGGCGGCUUAGUAAGUCAGAUGUGAAAACUCCAGGCUCAACCUGGAGACGCCAUUUGAUACUGCUAUGGCUUGAGUUCGGUAGGGGAUCACGGAAUUCCUGGUGUAGCGGUGAAAUGCGCAGAUAUCAGGAGGAACACCGAUGGCGAAGGCAGUGAUCUGGGCCGAUACUGACGCUGAGGAGCGAAAGCGUGGGUAGCGAACAGG
This 257-nucleotide ribosomal RNA is filed under the name uncultured bacterium. RNAcentral describes it as "partial 16S ribosomal RNA". It matches the Rfam family "Bacterial small subunit ribosomal RNA", at positions 521 to 776 of the family's 1533-position model. The record is from RNAcentral.